CAAACGUCUACAGUUUAAACAUACGAGCUACUACACGCUACAUCUUUUUUACCUGACUUCCAUCAUUGGGUAGACGUAUCUGGUUUCUUCUUUCCAAACCCAAAGAUGUGCGGUUAUAUUUCCUCCUCGUAGUGUCAGACAACUACAAGUUCAGUAAGAGGUUUUACACUUAUCUACGACGUGUGCGACGUUGUUUUGGUAACCGUAUACAUUCUACUAUUCCGAAACGGUAGCCUUGAAGUUUUAUAGAAGUGAAGGUGAAUACAACCACCUCCUUGUCACUUCGGAGGCUUCGAUAUAUUUGUUGGACUACAAGUUGAAAGAUGUUCGUCUCUCUACCUGGUCAACCUAUACGUAAAACACGAACGGAGGGUGUCGGGGACGAAUCGGAGAAAAGGGUAGUAAGUUGUGAACAUUUACCUCAUACGAUUAAAUGCUGCGGUUCGUCGUAGGAACUUUUCCUCGGAGAAACUAGUCCCCAUAAACCUACUCGUUAAAACGGUCCAACUCCUGAACGUCCUACUUCGUUCGGGGUUAAAACGUCUUCUUCACCAGAGGAACAAGAAGUUCCUGAGUCGCUCCGAUCACUGUUUGUAACUCGUUCGAUACCUCUUCAUAGGGUUUCUAAAGUUAUCUACCCUACGUGUGUACGUCGUCGAAUCUCCGUCGACAAAAUCGUAGCCGCGAAGAUUCUACUUGUUACUCACGUGUAGAAAGUCCUUGUCGACACCUCUUCUUUUACGACUUCCAACGUCCUCUUGAAAGGUCUUUCACUUCUCCCUCGUACGAUAAGACUCCGUCUUCGACCUCAGGAUGAAGGUCGACGACGCUGUUCGGCCAGGACGGUCCUGGCGCUGGUCCGGACCUUCGUACAUUCCGCGACCGGCGACCGCGAAAUGUCCCUCCACUUGGUGAUAUAGAGAUAUGCCCUAGCAACGUCUCUUUCUUCUGGGUCCUCGUCCUCUGUACGGACCAUGACGGUACCCACGAUCGAUCAAAUAAUUACGGACUUUCUAAUAUUACUAGUAUUUUUUCAUAGUAUGACAUGAUAUUAGUAUUCCCGCGGUACAACCACAGGACAACCUAUUAUCAGACUAUAUCAGCACAGUACAGUACAGGCGCGAAUACAUGCUAUUUAUUGUGCUUGGCUC
RNAcentral lists this ribosomal RNA (1151 nucleotides) under Triticum aestivum (bread wheat). Its description in RNAcentral is "partial small subunit ribosomal RNA". Lineage: Eukaryota; Viridiplantae; Streptophyta; Magnoliopsida; Poales; Poaceae. The record is from RNAcentral.